AACGAACGCUGGCGGCAGGCCUAAUACAUACAAGUCGAACGGAUGUAGCAAUACAUUAGUGGCGCACGGGUGCCUAACGCGUGGGAACAUACCCUUGAGUAAGGAAUAAUGUCUGGAAACGGACACUAAUACCUUACAAUGACUUCGGUCCAAAGAUUCAUCGCUCAAGGAUUGGCCCGCGUCUGAUUAGCUAGUUGGUGAGGUAACGGCUCACCAAGGCGACGAUCAGUAGCUGGUCUGAGAGGAUGAUCAGCCACACUGGGACUGAGACACGGCCCAGACUCCUACGGGAGGCAGCAGUAAGGAAUAUUGGACAAUGGGGGAAACCCUGAUCCAGCCAUGCCGCGUGAGUGAAGAAGGCCUUAGGGUUGUAAAGCUCUUUCAAUAGUGAAGAUAAUGACGGUAGCUAUAGAAGAAGCCCCGGCUAAAUUCGUGCCAGCCGCCGCGGUAA
RNAcentral lists this ribosomal RNA (451 nucleotides) under uncultured bacterium. Its description in RNAcentral is "partial 16S ribosomal RNA". It matches the Rfam family "Bacterial small subunit ribosomal RNA", at positions 29 to 523 of the family's 1533-position model. The record is from RNAcentral.